AAAAAAACGAAGACAAGACAUGCUUUACAGCAUCCUCAGCAUAAUUUAGGUCCCACUACCUCGUCUUUGCCAUUUAUGAGUCCUCCUCCUCCUCAGCAUACUUCAGGUUCCACUACUUCGUCUGCGCAGGUGCCAAUUAUGAGUCAUCCUCCUCCUCCUCAGCAGACUUCACUGCCACCCGGCUUGUUCCUUCCAAUGAAUCUACGAAGGUAGUUGUGGAUUGUGUUAAAGCAUUUUAUCGAGAUGCUUGGAGUAAAUGGUCAGAUAUACCGUACAUUUACAGAGACCAGAUGUGGAAUCAAUUUAGGACAAGAUGUGCAUGGCUUUCCAAAUAUCAUCAGCAAAUAAGUCAUAAUUUCGAGAAAAAAGAGGCUCGACUCGAUCAAAAGAUGCCCGGUUAGAUACAAAAAGACAUAUGGGAUAGACUUAAUGUGACGUGGACCUCUGAAGAAUUUAAGAAGAGGAGCAAUGCUGCAAAGGCUGUCCGAGCCUCCAAUACGGGUGGCUCAUUGCAUACUGGGGGUUCAGUUAGUAUGGAGACCCAUCGAAGGAGAAUUGAAAAGGAAAAAAAAAGACUUGUGACUUAUGCUGAGGUUUUUGAGGACAAACAUAUGAAAACGAAAAGGACGGUACAAGAGAAUGGGUUGAGCC
Long non-coding RNA from Nicotiana attenuata, 651 nucleotides. RefSeq lists it as uncharacterized. The record is from RefSeq and is a predicted model, not a curated record. NCBI's taxonomy places the organism in Eukaryota, Viridiplantae, Streptophyta, Magnoliopsida, Solanales, Solanaceae. The transcript has 3 exons.